AUUGAACGCUGGCGGCAUGCUUUACACAUGCAAGUCGAACGGUAACAGGCCUUCGGGUGCUGACGAGUGGCGAACGGGUGAGUAAUGCAUCGGAACGUACCCAGAGGUGGGGGAUAACGCAGCGAAAGCUGUGCUAAUACCGCAUGUGAUCUGAGGAUGAAAGCGGGGGACCGAGCAGCAAUGUUUGGCCUCGCGCCUUUGGAGCGGCCGAUGUCGGAUUAGCUAGUUGGUGGGGUAAAGGCCUACCAAGGCGACGAUCCGUAGCUGGUCUGAGAGGACGAGCAGACACAGGAGGAGGGAGAUGCGGACCAGGCGCGGACGGGAGGCAGCGGUGGGGGGUGUGGGGGAAUGGGCGCAGGGCGGAGUAAACCGUGCUGCGUGGGAAAAGAAGGGCUUCGGGUUGUAAGCCGCGUUGGUCAGGAAAGAAACAGAGUCCGCAACGACCGACUGCUUAUGAGGGGCCCUGCAGAAUAAGCACAGGCUAACUACGAG
Molecule: ribosomal RNA, 492 nt
Filed under: uncultured bacterium
Lineage: Bacteria
Description: partial 16S ribosomal RNA
Rfam family: Bacterial small subunit ribosomal RNA
Source: RNAcentral